AAGAGGGUGAAACAGUCAAAGGGAAAUAGAAAUAAGAAGCUGGAAUUUCUGAACAGCUUUGUUACUCCACAGUUUUGAGGCGACUUUUCGAAGUUGAGCGAAAAAGGGAAUUGAUACACACUCCAUAGGAGCUUACACACAUAAAGGCGAAAGGUGAACAUGGAACUACAUAGAGAGCAUGGCUAGUUGUGGA
Molecule: long non-coding RNA, 193 nt
Organism: Olea europaea var. sylvestris
Lineage: Eukaryota; Viridiplantae; Streptophyta; Magnoliopsida; Lamiales; Oleaceae
Exons: 3
Source: RefSeq, a predicted model, not a curated record